This 692-nucleotide unclassified non-coding RNA is filed under the name Hevea brasiliensis (rubber tree). Lineage: Eukaryota; Viridiplantae; Streptophyta; Magnoliopsida; Malpighiales; Euphorbiaceae. The record is from RNAcentral.
GGUGUUAGAAACUCCUGACAGCCUCCAUUAAUACGUCCUUGCUAUUAACUGAUCCAACACACAGCUAAAUGUUGCUAAGAACUGGACCUUCUUCUGGUUUCUCUCUCACAGAUUGAAUCUGCAAGGGAUGCUACGAACAAGUUGAACUGACCCAUUUCACAGGUGCUGGAAAGUUUUAAUUUUUCUUCUCUGGGUAGCUAAACGGAGAGUUAGGGCUCAUUUUCCCUUUUUUGUUAUUGUGGAUUUUGAAGUUUUAUGCUUGCUGCUCAAUUGGGUAACUUUCUUUCGUUCUGGAUUAUGUUCUUGCUUCUGAGUAACCAGUUUCUGAUUUUUUUUUUCUUUUAAUUUGUUGUAGAGUUUGGGAAAUAGUUGUGAUGGAAUUGGAACUGACCCUCCUGCAAUUUUCUGUGCUUUUGACUGCUUUUAUUGUGCCCCGGUUUGCUGUCUCUGAAACAAUAUCAAAUGACACAGUUCAUGGUCCACUGGUAGCUUCCAAGAAUGAAAGCAGUAAAGCAUGGUGCCAUUCUGGCUGGGACAUCAGUCCAAACAAGAAUAAGUGCCUGAAAUAUUUAGAAAAUUCCCUAUCAUGGGUUGAGUCAGAGAACCUCUGCAAAAGCUAUGGUGGACAUUUGGCAGCAUUGACAUCUUCUCAAGAACUAAGCUUUGCAAAACAGCUGUGUGGCCAAAUUGCU